RNAcentral lists this long non-coding RNA (848 nucleotides) under Numida meleagris (helmeted guineafowl). RNAcentral describes it as "lncRNA (ENSNMEG00000016487.1)". Lineage: Eukaryota; Metazoa; Chordata; Aves; Galliformes; Numididae. The record is from RNAcentral.
GUUGAAAAGCUAACCAUCCGUAGCCUCUGGGAUUCAGACACAGAGGAUGAGCGGCAUUUUCCCCACUGGUUUUUAAGAGGCUUCAGUGGGAAGCUCAGGUCACCAGGCCUUGUCUGGGGCUGGAAGGAAGAAGUAAAAGCUGCAGCCUGUGCCAGCUGGGCCGGGCCUGAGGAGAAGCGAGUGCUGGCGCCGGCCGUGGGCCCUGGCUGCGGGCAGCUGGAGCCUGUGGCUGCUGGAUGCCUCUUAACAUAUCCCAGUGCCCUCAAGACAAGACAUUCAAUUUGGUCACACUGCCAUCCAGCAACUCACCCUCCUGAGACUCACUGCUGCAGGCAGGCUUGCACCUGAAACCUGAACUGCAUCUGGCACCGAGAUGGCUGCACGGAGUUGCUCUCCUUUCUCCUGAGGUUGGCUGCAACCAUCGGUUUGCAUGUGGGGAAAAGCAUUCGCUUAACAAGCGAGUUGUCAUCUCUCCAGACACAGGAUAAGAAUGAAUGAACUGAAGAAGAGCCAGGUUAGAGCCUGGGGAACAUUUUCUGAUGCAGGGUGCAUGAGGCAGUAGCCCUGGCUGCCCAGGAAUGCACGUGUGAGAAGAGGUGAGGCACACAUCUGGGCAGGGCAGCACAAGCCACAGGGUCCAGUGGCACUCUUGGGGCUCAGCUUUACUAUUUCUUUGCUGCAGUUUCAGCUUGACACUUAAAGGUUUCAGCAAGGUGCUAUCAUUCCUGGAUCUCAUCCAGUCAUGCGAACAAGCAAGCCUUCACUCAGGAUUAUCAACAAGAAAUUCCUUCCUAGGAUAAAUGAAUGGCUGAUGAUGAUGAACAGAUACAGCCUCCCAUUGUUUUGUG